This 390-nucleotide ribosomal RNA is filed under the name uncultured bacterium. RNAcentral describes it as "bacterial SSU rRNA". It matches the Rfam family "Bacterial small subunit ribosomal RNA", at positions 28 to 412 of the family's 1533-position model. The record is from RNAcentral.
GACGAACGCUGGCGGCGUGCCUAAUACAUGCAAGUCGAGCGGAGUAUUGUCUUCGGAUAAUAUUUAGCGGCGGACGGGUGAGUAACACGUAGGCAACCUGCCUGAAAGACUGGGAUAACUACCUGAAAAGGUAGCUAAGACCGGAUACGCCGUUGAGAACGCAUGUUCUUAACGGGAAAAGCGGAGUAAUCUGCUGCUUUCGGAUGGGCCUGCGGCGCAUUAGCUAGAGGUGAGGUAACGGCUCACCUAGGCGACGAUGCGUAGCCGACCUGAGAGGGUGAACGGCCACACUGGGACUGAGAAACGGCCCAGACUCCUACGGGAGGCAGCAGUGAGGAAUUUUCCGCAAUGGGCGCAAGCCUGACGGAGCGACGCCGCGUGUGGGAAGAA